Molecule: long non-coding RNA, 2322 nt
Filed under: Homo sapiens (human)
Lineage: Eukaryota; Metazoa; Chordata; Mammalia; Primates; Hominidae
Description: non-protein coding lnc-ANXA2-2:3
Source: RNAcentral
GAACAUAAAAUAGUGAUCUCUUUACAACUGCUCUGACUCACAAAAAGCCAAAUACAUUAUGAUAAUGAAAGGAAAUCAUGAAAUGGCAAAAAUUGGCCCGACCCCAUGCCUCAUGCCUGUAAUCCCAGCACUUUGGGAGGCCGAGGCGGGUGGAUCACCUGAGGUCAGGAAUUCAAGACCAGCCUGGCCAACAUGGUGAAACCCUGUCUCUACCAAAAAUACAAAAAAAUCAGCCUGGUGUGGUGGCGCAUGCCUGUAGUCCCAGCUAUUUGAGAGGCUGAGGCAAGAGAAUCACUUGAAUCCGGGAGGUGGAGGUUGCAGCGAGCAGAGAUUGCGCCACUGCACUCACUCCAGCCUGGGCAACAGAGCAGGACUCCAUCUCAAAAAAAAAAAAAAAAAAAAGGAAAUUUUUUUUAAAAAAUUAAGUAAAUAUCAUAAUUUAAUCCAAAUAGAAAUAAGUUUCAGAUUUUUUGUAUUACAUUAUCUCAUCCGCUGUUUUUGUUGUUGUUAUUGAGGGCAUUUCUCUGCCUGAGGAGCUAUAAUUGCUAAAAGUAAGUUUUUUGCAGUUUAAUUUUACAUGAAUUUCUUUUGUUUAUCAGGAUUUCCAAUUUAUUUAACAUCCUCCAACACAUUCUAAAGAAACUAAGUAGGUAAGUAUUUUUUAGGCAUUUUGCUUUGAUACAUCUGAUUUUCUUAGAUGAAAAUUCUUAGAAACUUUGAAAAUGUACUGUUAGGAAUAGAGACAAAAUAACCUAGAAAUGCAAAAAUUAUUAUGAGCUACUGGAGAGGCUGAGGCAGGAGAAUCGCUUGAACUUGGGAGGCAGAGGUUGCAGUGACCCAAGAUCACUCUACUGCACUCCAGCCUGGGCUACAGAACCUAGCCCUGUGUUUGAUAGGAAUUACCCCAUCUUCUUCCCUACCUCCUAGCUAGGCCAUGGGAUUGGGCCUUCUAGUCCCAACCAAUCUAAGUGCAAAUAUGGAUUCUAGUUUUAGCAGCAAUGGUAAGAUGACAGCUUUCAGGAAACCAGGGAAGUAAGACCUAUAUGAAAUAGAAAUCAUCUGCAUAUUUUCAUGGUGUAAAAAUUUGUUCAAACGUUUCUGCCUCUAAUGUGAUCCCAUAGUCACGAGUCCACUUGAACUCUGAUCUCAUCCUUGUAUAGUGCCUUUGGUACUAACCCUGAGAGAUAUGCCAGUAGAGCCUGCAUCUGCCUCCCUACUGCAUCAAGUAGAGAUUGUAUUUAAGGGUCCCAUUUGCUUCCUGGGCUACUUUUGACUUCUGCUUCCAGUCUUUCUUGCAGCAGCUUCACACUUAUCCCUUUUUUCUUUCUACAUCUUCUGUAAUAAACAUUUAUUUUACACAUUCAGACACACACAGUCUUGCAGUGGAGGUUUUCAAAAUGCUUGCUUUUCUCAAAAAUUUUAACAGAUAGAAUUAGUGUGGUCAAUAUACCUUUAUAGGAAAUACCAGCUGAGUGAGGAGUGGUAUAGAUCAUCCAAAAGUCGCAGCACUUUUCUAAUCAGUAUAUUACAAAAUUUCAUCAGAUUCACACAGACAAAUCUGUACUCAAUUUGUCCUUUCUGGUCAGGUAAAUGUAAAUAAAAAAAAAUGCUUUUUAAAGGGACAGUAGAUAUUAAAUAAAGGAAGCCAGAGUCCGAGCUUUUUCAGUGAGUCUGUAACCCCUUGGAGCAAAUGCCAAUAGUAUUUCUGUUGGGCUAGCAUUAUGAGAGAGAGUGCUUGGAGUUACACUAUCACCCUUCAGUCCCAGGCCUGAAAUUGACUGGACGGGAUAUGAAGAAAUAGAGGAGAACAAGGUGGCCAGGGAAAAUAAAGGCAGAUAUGGGCAGGUUCUGUGGAAAUAGUUUCAGGCUAUACAGCUUUGGUCCUUCUCUGUGAGAUUGGCCUUCUCCAUUACUGUUUUUAUAGAUCACAUCUUUAACAUGACUACAUAGCAAGGGAUUCUGUAUUAAGAAUAGACCACCUUGGCUGGGCGCGGUGGCUCAUGCCCAUAAUCCCAGCACUGUGGGAGGCUGAGGCGGGCAGAUCACUUGAGGUCAGGAAUUCCAGACCAGCCUAAACAUGGUGAAACCCCAUCUCUACUAAUAAUACAAAAGUUAGCCAGGCAUGGUGACACACACCUGUAAUCCCAGCUGCUCAGGAGUCUGGAGUCAGGAGAAUCGCUUGAACCCAGGAGGUGGAGGUUGCAGUGAGCAGAGAUCGCGCCAACUGUCCUCCAGCCUGGGUGACAGAGCGAGACUCUGUCUCAAAAGAAAAAAAAUAGACCACCUCUCUUUGACUGUGUGAGCUAGAAAGUGAGGGUAAGG